This is a non-coding RNA of Phormidesmis priestleyi Ana, 74 nucleotides long. NCBI's taxonomy places the organism in Bacteria, Bacillati, Cyanobacteriota, Cyanophyceae, Leptolyngbyales, Leptolyngbyaceae. The record is from Rfam.
GGGCCUGUAGCUCAGUGGACUAGAGCACGUGGCUACGGACUACGGUGUCGGGAGUUCGAAUCUCUCCAGGCUCG